GUCCAGCUGAUGAGUCCCAAACAGGGCGAAACGCGCAUGCUGUAU
Non-coding RNA from Schistosoma mattheei, 45 nucleotides. Lineage: Eukaryota; Metazoa; Platyhelminthes; Trematoda; Strigeidida; Schistosomatidae. The record is from Rfam.